This is a long non-coding RNA of Fukomys damarensis (Damara mole-rat), 485 nucleotides long. RefSeq lists it as uncharacterized. NCBI's taxonomy places the organism in Eukaryota, Metazoa, Chordata, Mammalia, Rodentia, Bathyergidae. The record is from RefSeq and is a predicted model, not a curated record. The transcript has 3 exons.
CGUGAGGCGGCCGGUUGGAGUCCGGCUCAGGAAUACAUAGCUGCAGCCGCUCCUGCAAGUUCACCCGGAUUUGUCCUGUGCGCCAUCUUCACCAAGAGAUCUGAAGGCGCGGAACACGGCUCCGGCCUGGCCACGCAGCUGAUGAAGUUGUCGAAGUCCAUGCUCCCUCCGGCAUCAGAGUAGCGCGGGAUGUUCACGCAGCUGGAAGCCUGCGGCCUCAGGGGCCCCUGGGGUCUCUGUUGCAGAUGGUCCCGAUGGGCCGGCGUCAAACCGUUUGAUUACGGCCUGCCGCUGUGACACUGUUCCACAGAAUGCCUCCAAAUACCCAAUGUUGAUGGUUACUACAAUCAAUGAAGUUUGUAAUUUAUUGCUCAGAACAACUUCAGGCAGAUGUCUUCCUUCUUUAAUUAACUAAAUACUGGUGCUGUGUUGUCCUGCCGCUGCUGUGCCUCACCUGACCGAUAAAACUGAACCCAGCACUCCUC